AGGUGAGUAGUUCAAUUGGUAGAGCGGCGGUCUCCAAAACCGUUUGUUGUGGGUUCAAGUCCUGCCUCACCUGCCA
RNAcentral lists this transfer RNA (76 nucleotides) under Clostridiales bacterium. Its description in RNAcentral is "tRNA-Trp". It matches the Rfam family "tRNA". Rfam says of the family: Transfer RNA (tRNA) molecules are approximately 80 nucleotides in length. Their secondary structure includes four short double-helical elements and three loops (D, anti-codon, and T loops). Further hydrogen bonds mediate the characteristic L-shaped molecular structure. tRNAs have two regions of fundamental functional importance: the anti-codon, which is responsible for specific mRNA codon recognition, and the 3' end, to which the tRNAs corresponding amino acid is attached (by aminoacyl-tRNA synthetases). tRNAs cope with the degeneracy of the genetic code in two manners: having more than one tRNA (with a specific anti-codon) for a particular amino acid; and 'wobble' base-pairing, i.e. permitting non-standard base-pairing at the 3rd anti-codon position. RNAcentral also lists the same sequence under 1 other name. The record is from RNAcentral. Lineage: Bacteria; Bacillati; Bacillota; Clostridia; Eubacteriales.